RNAcentral lists this ribosomal RNA (274 nucleotides) under uncultured bacterium. RNAcentral describes it as "partial 16S ribosomal RNA". It matches the Rfam family "Bacterial small subunit ribosomal RNA", at positions 523 to 796 of the family's 1533-position model. The record is from RNAcentral.
AUACGAAAGGUGCAAGCGUUGUUCGGAUUUACUGGGCGUAAAGAGAGUGUAGGUUGUUUAUUAAGUCGGAUGUGAAACCCCGGGGCUCAACCUCGGAACUGCAUUCGAUACUGGUAGACUAGAGUUCGGGAGGGGUAAGCGGAAUUCCGUGUGUAGCAGUGAAAUGCGUAGAUAUACGGAGGAACACCUGAGGCGAAGGCGGCUUACUGGACCGAUACUGACACUGAGACUCGAAAGCGUGGGUAGCAAACAGGAUUAGAAACCCGGGUAGUCC